Molecule: ribosomal RNA, 254 nt
Filed under: uncultured bacterium
Lineage: Bacteria
Description: partial 16S ribosomal RNA
Rfam family: Bacterial small subunit ribosomal RNA
Source: RNAcentral
GUAUCCUACGGGGCGCAGCAGUGAGGAAUAUUGGUCAAUGGCCGCAGGGCUGAACCAGCCAAGUCGCGUGAGGGAUGACGGUCCUAUGGAUUGUAAACCUCUUUUGUCAGGGAGCAAAGGGCGCCACGUGUGGCGUUUUGCGAGUACCUGAAGCAAAAGAAUCGGCUAACUCCGUGCCAGCAGCAGCGGUAAUACGGAGGAUGCGGGCGUUAUCCGGAUUUAUUGGGUUUAAAGGGUGCGCAGGCGGAGUGGCA